CUAUUAGACUGAAACCACUUUAUAUAACAAUUAUAAAACUUUUAGCAACGGAUCUCUGGGCUCUCGCAACGAUGAAGAACGCAGCGAAUUGCGAAAAGUAAUGUGAAUUGCAUAUACCGUGAAUCAUCAAAUCUUUGAACGCACCUUGCACCAUUGGGAACUCCCGAUGGUACGUCUGUUUGAGUAUCAAUCAACACCUGCAAACUUUGCUUUUAACCGAGCCAUACUUUGCAUAUCGAUUGGAUAGUUAUAUUACUACCGAUUUAGAUACAUAGUCUAGCCACGCUAGUCAACAGAGUUUAACACUUCUGAGUGAUGAAUGUAGCAGCAUGACUGGGGCUUCUUGAAGUCUUUAACUUUGAUCUCAAAUCAGACGAGGAUACCCGCUGAACUUAA
RNAcentral lists this ribosomal RNA (396 nucleotides) under uncultured fungus. Its description in RNAcentral is "eukaryotic LSU rRNA". The stretch from base 37 to 189 matches the Rfam family "5.8S ribosomal RNA". The record is from RNAcentral. Lineage: Eukaryota; Fungi.